GAUGAACGCUGACAGAAUGCUUAACACAUGCAAGUCAACUUGAACUUCGGUUUGGGUGGCGGACGGGUGAGUAACGCGUAAAGAACUUGCCUCACAGCUAGGGACAACAUUUGGAAACGAAUGCUAAUACCUGAUAUUAUGAUUAUAUGGCAUCGUAUGAUUAUGAAAGCUAUAUGCGCUGUGAGAGAGCUUUGCGUCCCAUUAGCUAGUUGGAGAGGUAACAGCUCACCAAGGCGAUGAUGGGUAGCCGGCCUGAGAGGGUGAUCGGCCACAAGGGGAAUGGAAAAAGGCCCGUAACCCUACGGGGGGGAAGAGGUGGGAAAAAUAGAAAAAGGAACAAGAAUGUUGAACAAGCAAUUCGUGGGGAAGAAGGAAGUUUUGGGGAUAGAAAGGUGUUUCAAGUGGGGAAGAAAAAAUGACGGUACCAACAGAAGAGGUGACGGCUAAAUACGUG
Molecule: ribosomal RNA, 454 nt
Filed under: uncultured bacterium
Lineage: Bacteria
Description: partial 16S ribosomal RNA
Rfam family: Bacterial small subunit ribosomal RNA
Source: RNAcentral